GAGAGAGAUGUUCUCAGUAGAAUCAGCUUGGAACUGAAAAAUUAAGAUUUUGUUUUGUGCAAUGCUAGUUGCCUUGCCAGUCUCAAGCUGGCACUGUGGGCUUGCUGUAGCUGCUGAGUCUGAGCUGAGGAGAGGAGACAGUUUGCUUCGGUUUCAUUGCUCAGCCUCACCAUGCGUCUCAAUAUGUUUUUGAUUUCGUAUUUUAAAAAUAAGGUGAAUGAUCUCAAAAGGAAAUCAUUGCAGGCGAUUUUAUUCUUUGCUUUUUCUAAUGGACAAUUAAAAAGCAAUCCUGGUCCUAUUCCAGGGAUUUUCUCAUUUCUUAGUACAACUGUAAUUUAGGCACGUAUAAUAGCGCAAUGAUAUUAUUAGAUAUUAUCAUGUUUAUUUUAUUCAUGAAAAUGUGUGACACACCUUAUUUGUAUUCUUUUUGAGGAAAUGUCCUGGAAUGGGUUUUUGUCCCAGCUCCUUUUUGUGCCUGUAAGAAGCUCUAGCCAUGGUGACACUGUGAGAAAUGAAUGUCAAGUUCUCCUGGGUUGCUGGAAUGUUUGCACAAGGCACCAGUGAAGAAACAAGGGAGGAGACGCCGCAUACCCGUAAAGAUGCUGUGGUCCUGAAGGGGCCGACCUUGAAUUAUGUAGAAGGGAGUGAUGGAACUUUUUGGAUUGGUCCCAUUCUGCUUUGGGCUACUGUGGCUUUCAGUGUGCGAUUCAGUUCAUUGGCACCAGAUGCCGAAGAAACUAAGGUCAAGGGUGUGAGCCUCACUUGGGCCAGGUGGCUGCAUAAUUUUCCAACAGGUUGUGUGGCGAUUCAGUCUGGUCAUGGUAGAAAUGCUGGCCUGAAAGGGGGCUGGUGAACACGUGAGUGAGUGGGUGAAAAGCCAGCCCCAUUCCCGGAAAAGCAAAGCCGGAGCCCUACUGUCAUUUUUCCAACUGGAGAGAAUGUACCACUUAAAAUGUGAGCUUGUUACUCAACCUCCCUGUGUCUCUGUGUCCUCAUCUGGAGAAUGGAGAUAAGAUUUGCUCCCUUUCUACCUCACCAGGAUCUGAGAAGAUUAGAUAAUGGCUGUAAAGUCCUUCUACGAAGGUAUGAGCAUUAUCAUAAACAAGGAGAUUAGUCAACAAAUAAAGAAAAAAUUUUCUUAAAGGACCUCCCAAAGUGUAUUGCCUAAUCAUUUUUGAUUCAGUAUCAGCAGUUUGCAGUCUCCCCCCUUUCGAGUUUGGUUUAGCUGCAAAAAGUUAGGUGUGAAUGUUUGACCUUUCUAGUUGUUUAGAAGGUGAAAACAUUGUUUGAUAGCGAACAUUUCUAUUAAUCAAAACAAAGUGGGCUUUGAAUCCGACACAGGUCUUAUUUGAAAAAGGAGGUGAGGGCAAACGUCUCUAGGAACAUAUGUGCCACUGAGGAAUAUUUGCAUGCAUUUGAUCUGCAAGCACGCUUCGGUGAUUUUCAUAGUCUACCUUGGAGUUUAAGUUGUAGCCAUUGCUCAGCGGCACCGUCCUCUCUCUCCAGCUUUAUUAUGGCACACAGCGACAACUUCAUUUUUAGCAUUAAAAAAAAAAAAUCCUCUUCACUUAAUUCAGACAGUGACCUGCAGGCCUCAUUCUGACUGAAGGAGCCAUUCAGAAUACUUGCAGACAAAAGCAGGGCUUUUUCCUAGCAACCAGAUCAAAGCCAAAUCUCCCAGAAUAGCUCCCUCCCAGGUUUUCUUUGGCGCAUAGGUUCACAAGGCUUGUGGUAUCCAGUUCAAACUACUCUUUCAAACUGAAAUGGAAAGGAAAACUCCUGAGGAAUUUUCACAGACUCUGAAAACUGGCGAGCGUUGCGAGGGCACUUAAUCUUGGGAGAACACGGUGGUCAUUUGGAGCAUCCCUAACUUUGUUAUCGCCGCAUCUGCAUGAACAUUCUGUCGGACUUCCACAGAAUGAGGUCUCUGUUUCCUUUCUGCCAGUACCUAAUAUCAGCUAUGCCCAGGAGCCGGCUGAUGAAGACUUCCUGUUUGUUUUGAGUCACUGUUAGAGUGAUAAAUAUACUUUAGCUUUCUGCUUCGAGAGGAAAGAAACCAGCUGCCCUGAACUACAGAGAAAAAUGCAGAAAUUCCACUGAAUGGCCCUGUUAUCAUGGAGCUUCAAGGGCAGCAUCAAAAUGAAAACUAUAAGCCAGGGCGAAGUAAAUAAUUUCCAUAUUAAAGCAUCGUGCUGCAUGCUUGGACCUAAGUUGUUUGUCUUUAAUCAUUUAGGCGAGCGUUGCAUUUUUCACUCUUCUAAGGCCAACUCAGCGAUGUUUAGAGAUUUUUGAAAAUGUAAACUUACGCUACAGAAUAAUGGUGAGCUAUAUAAAUAAACAAUUAUAGUUGUGGUUUUUUGAUCUGACCACAAGCUUUUAAUGCCAUUUUUGCAUGAGCAUAUAAUGCUUCUGGAUAAAUGAUAAUGUUUAUAUUGUCAGUGGCAUCCACUGUUGUACUGAGUCAUUUACAUAUGUGAUUAUUUGGAUAUAGAGUAAUGCAAGAACAAAAGAACACUAUAAAAUGAUUGAAAACAAGACCAACAGGAAAUCCUUUAUAGCUUAAAUAGCACUUCUUAAAUAAAGCCAUGGAGUUUUUGUGUUUUGAUUUUGUUUUUGUCCUUUUAUUUUGAACAGGUUUUGGAUUUAAUGACUCGAAUGUCCUUUGAGUGGAAUUUCUUAACUCUGGUCUGAAGGGUGGUGAAUUUAGGAAGCCUUAUU
This is a long non-coding RNA of Lontra canadensis (Northern American river otter), 2718 nucleotides long. RefSeq lists it as uncharacterized. The record is from RefSeq and is a predicted model, not a curated record. NCBI's taxonomy places the organism in Eukaryota, Metazoa, Chordata, Mammalia, Carnivora, Mustelidae. The transcript is spliced from 4 exons.